GAUGAACGCUGGCGGCGUGCCUAAUACAUGCAAGUCGAGCGAACAGACGAGAGUGCUUGCACUCUCUGCCGUUAGCGGCGGACGGGUGAGUAACACGUGGGUAACCUACCUAUAAGACUGGGAUAACUUCGGGAAACCGGAGCUAAUACCGGAUAAUAUUUAGCUUCGCAUGAAGCAAUAGUGAAAGACGGUUCUGCUGUCACUUAUAGAUGGACCCGCGGUGUAUUAGCUAGUUGGUGAGGUAACGGCUCACCAAGGCAACGAUACAUAGCCGACCUGAGAGGGGGGUCGGCCAACAGGGAACGGAGACACGGACCAGACCCCACAGGGAGGGAGCAGGGGGGAAUCUUCCGAAAGGGACGAAAGUCGGAGGGGGAAAUGCCGGGGGAGUGAAGAGGGGUUUCGGAUCGUAAAACCCUGUUGUAAGGGAAGAAAAAGUAAGUUAGUAACUGAACGUACCUUGACGGUACCUUACCAAAAAGCCACGGCUAACUACGU
Molecule: ribosomal RNA, 498 nt
Filed under: uncultured bacterium
Lineage: Bacteria
Description: partial 16S ribosomal RNA
Rfam family: Bacterial small subunit ribosomal RNA
Source: RNAcentral